AUGGAUUAUAUUCCUUCCAAUACACUCCAAUUUGACCAAGCUUUACAACAAGCUGAUGAGCUGUUCCAAAUCUCCUGCCUUCCCUACACAGAGCACACAACCCAAGAAAAUCAAGCACUCCCACCGACUCCAUCUCAAGAUGGUCGUGAUCUCACUUGCAGGCCAAAAUCUGGCCAGAAGCGCAGGGCAUCAAUAUCUUCAUCCAAUAUCACUUUUGGUGAAAUUGAAGAUGAGCAAAACCCAAAAGGCAAUAAGAAGAUCAUGCAUAGAGAUAUUGAACGGCAAAGAAGACAAGAAAUGGCCACCCUUUAUGCAUCUCUUCGAUCACAACUUCCCCUUGAAUAUCUCAAGGUACAGUCCAAUAUAGCUAGCUAGUUAAUUUUCUCAAAUAAUGUCAAAUUUCGAGAUUCAUAUACAACUGUUAAUCAGCAGUGUGUACUGGAUAAUUCGAGCAAUCAACGGUCUUGAUACGAAAUCUUGUAACAUAACAUGUCAUCGUGACGGUUAAAGGCAUUGGCAACAUUUUUCGGUUGGAGACUUCACAAAUUUCGUUUAUACUUCCGCAGAACUGAGUUUGUGUUUAUGAUGACAAUUGUUGGUAGGAGUCUAAGAACUAUGUGGGUUUUUUUAGGUUUGAAUUUUGGUUAAGUUGAAGUAUAAUGCUAUCUCAAAUUAGGGAUUUUUUAGACCAUAAGAAUUAUUUUGCUUUGUGUAUAUAUAUAUAUAUAUAUAUAUAUAUAUAUAUAGUAUAUACAUAUAUGUUUUGGUUUAUAUAUCAAUCCUUCUGUUUAGUGUAUUUGGUUUAUACAUUUUGUAUUAUUCUAUGGCUUCAGGGAAGGAGGUCUAUAUCUGAUCAUGUUCAUGAGACAGUGAAUUACAUAAAACAUCUACAAAGCAAUAUCCAAGAGCUGCAUAAUAAGAGGGAUGGGCUGAAAAGGUCGUGCGAUACUUCAUGCUCUUCCAGUACAAGUACU
RNAcentral lists this long non-coding RNA (974 nucleotides) under Prunus dulcis (almond). Its description in RNAcentral is "sRNA ncRNA". Lineage: Eukaryota; Viridiplantae; Streptophyta; Magnoliopsida; Rosales; Rosaceae. The record is from RNAcentral.